This 613-nucleotide ribosomal RNA is filed under the name Rahnella victoriana. RNAcentral describes it as "bacterial SSU rRNA". It matches the Rfam family "Bacterial small subunit ribosomal RNA", at positions 90 to 699 of the family's 1533-position model. Lineage: Bacteria; Pseudomonadati; Pseudomonadota; Gammaproteobacteria; Enterobacterales; Yersiniaceae. The record is from RNAcentral.
GGCGAGCGGCGGACGGGUGAGUAAUGUCUGGGAAACUGCCUGAUGGAGGGGGAUAACUACUGGAAACGGUAGCUAAUACCGCAUGACCUCGCAAGAGCAAAGUGGGGGACCUUCGGGCCUCACGCCAUCGGAUGUGCCCAGAUGGGAUUAGCUAGUAGGUGGGGUAAUGGCUCACCUAGGCGACGAUCCCUAGCUGGUCUGAGAGGAUGACCAGCCACACUGGAACUGAGACACGGUCCAGACUCCUACGGGAGGCAGCAGUGGGGAAUAUUGCACAAUGGGCGCAAGCCUGAUGCAGCCAUGCCGCGUGUGUGAAGAAGGCCUUAGGGUUGUAAAGCACUUUCAGCGAGGAGGAAGGGUUCAGUGUUAAUAGCACUGUGCAUUGACGUUACUCGCAGAAGAAGCACCGGCUAACUCCGUGCCAGCAGCCGCGGUAAUACGGAGGGUGCAAGCGUUAAUCGGAAUUACUGGGCGUAAAGCGCACGCAGGCGGUUUGUUAAGUCAGAUGUGAAAUCCCCGAGCUUAACUUGGGAACUGCAUUUGAAACUGGCAAGCUAGAGUCUUGUAGAGGGGGGUAGAAUUCCAGGUGUAGCGGUGAAAUGCGUAGAGAUCU